This 468-nucleotide ribosomal RNA is filed under the name uncultured bacterium. RNAcentral's name for it is "partial 16S ribosomal RNA". It matches the Rfam family "Bacterial small subunit ribosomal RNA", at positions 28 to 507 of the family's 1533-position model. The record is from RNAcentral.
GACGAACGCUGGCGGCGUGCUUAACACAUGCAAGUCGAACGGAAAGGCCCUGCUUUUGUGGGGUGCUCGAGUGGCGAACGGGUGAGUAACACGUGAGUAACCUGCCCUUGACUUUGGGAUAACUUCAGGAAACUGGGGCUAAUACCGGAUAGGAGCUCCUGCUGCAUGGUGGGGGUUGGAAAGUUUCGGCGGUUGGGGAUGGACUCGCGGCUUAUCAGCUUGUUGGUGGGGUAGUGGCUUACCAAGGCUUUGACGGGUAGCCGGCCUGAGAGGGUGACCGGCCACAUUGGGACUGAGAUACGGCCCAGACUCCUACGGGAGGAAGAAGUGGGGAAUAUUGCACAAUGGGCGGAAGCCUGAUGCAGAAACGCCGCGUGCGGGAUGACGGCCUUCGGGUUGUAAACCGCUUUCGCCUGUGACGAAGCGUGAGUGACGGUAAUGGGUAAAGAAGCACCGGCUAACAACGUG